UGCGCAUGCAUUUUCAACUCUGAAACUCUUGAAGUUCAAGUUACAACUCUUUAAUCCCAACUCCACCUUGAUCUGUUACUCGAUUUGGGAAUGAGUACCAGAUCAAGGUGGAGUUGAGAAUAAAGAAUUGUGUUUCUUCGAUGAGUGUUCUUUGUAAAAAGGCUUUGUGCA
Non-coding RNA from Marchantia polymorpha subsp. ruderalis, 171 nucleotides. The record is from the annotation of a GenBank genome assembly. Lineage: Eukaryota; Viridiplantae; Streptophyta; Marchantiopsida; Marchantiales; Marchantiaceae.